This 253-nucleotide ribosomal RNA is filed under the name uncultured bacterium. RNAcentral's name for it is "partial 16S ribosomal RNA". It matches the Rfam family "Bacterial small subunit ribosomal RNA", at positions 524 to 776 of the family's 1533-position model. The record is from RNAcentral.
UACGUAGGGUGCAAGCGUUAAUCGGAAUUACUGGGCGUAAAGCGUGCGCAGGCGGUUUUGUAAGUCUGUCGUGAAAUCCCCGGGCUCAACCUGGGAAUUGCGAUGGAGACUGCAAGGCUAGAAUCUGGCAGAGGGGAGUAGAAUUCCACGUGUAGCAGUGAAAUGCGUAGAGAUGUGGAGGAACACCGAUGGCGAAGGCAGCCCCCUGGGCUAACACUGACGCUCAGGCACGAAAGCGUGGGGAGCAAACAGG